CCAGUUAAAUAUAAUAUAUUUAUGUACAGACAAAAUACUUAUUCCAAUGAUGGGGCUAUAAAUGGUCGAUAGACAGCCGUCAUCGCACUCAAAGGUAUGACAACGGCGGUGUAUAAACUCAAUACGCUCGGAAUCGUUUUGUUCUUGACCAAAAACGUCAAAUCUCAAACACAGUGAUGGAGAAAGGGUUGAGCCGUAAGACAAAAGUGUGGUUUAUGAAAAAAAACAAAACGAAAACGAAAACAACAACAAAACAAAUAAAUGGAAGUUCUGAUGAGACGUGUUCCCCGAAGUGAAAUCUUUAGAUAAACAACUUUUGUGGACGAAAAGCAUUUGAAAUAUAGAGAAUAAGUCAUUAAAAGAAUAAAUAAAAAAACAAAAAUGUUUCCGACAGUAUUUUUAGUUGGGAUGCGCUGUACUCUGGACUUACUAAUGUAAU
Long non-coding RNA from Aphis gossypii (cotton aphid), 439 nucleotides. RefSeq lists it as uncharacterized. The transcript has 3 exons. The record is from RefSeq and is a predicted model, not a curated record. NCBI's taxonomy places the organism in Eukaryota, Metazoa, Arthropoda, Insecta, Hemiptera, Aphididae.